CAAACUUGGUUAUCAUACAUGGAUUGGAUCUCGCUAUCCAUUGCCUCUUUCCAUUUUGCAGACUCCGGGCCUGCCAUGGCUUCCUUAUAGCUAUUAGGUUCAUCAAGAUUUACUAGUGUACCAUCACUAAUAUACGUGUCCCCUUCGGUAGUAAUAUGAAAGCCAUAAAACUGGGGAUGAACUCUAACUCUAUCGGAACGUCUAAGAGGUAAGGAUUCGUCAAUCGGUUCAACCGGAGUUUCCUCCUCGGGUUGAGUGCCAGCGGUAGAGGUUCCUUCAUCUAUCGACUCUUGAAUCUCUUCAAGUUCGAUUUGCCUCCCACUGUCUCCUUGGCUUAUGAGUUCUCGCUCUCGGAAAACUCCUCUCCUCGCAACGAAGACAACAUUGUCCUUCGGUCUAUAGAAGAGAUAUCCAAAGGAUGUCUGCGGGUAGCCGAUGAAAAUACAUCGCUCACUUCGAGGUUCAAGCUUGUCGUGAGUAUCUCGUCUUACGAAAGCCUCGCAACCCCAAACCUUGAUAUGUGCCAACGAGGGAGCUUUCCCUGUCCACAUCUCGUGAGGUGUUUUGGCAACCUUCUUAGUAGGGACUCGGUUAAGGAUAUGGGCGGCAGUCUCUAAGGCAUACCCCCAAAAAGAGAUUGGUAGUGAAGCACGACUCAUCAUAGAGCGAACCAUAUCCAAUAAGGUUCGAUUACGCCUUUCUGCCACACCAUUCAACUGCGGUGUCCUAGGAGGCGUCAAUUGUGAAACUAUUCCACACUCCUUGAGAUAAUCGUGGAAUUCAAGACUUAGGUACUCUCCUCCUCGAUCGGAUCGAAGCAUCUUGAUUUUCCUGCCCAAUUGAUUCUCCACUUCAUUCUUGAACUCUUUGAACUUUUCAAAGGUGUCUGACUUUUGCUUGAUUAAGUAGAUAUACCCAUAUCUACUAUAGUCAUCGGUAAAAGUCACAUAGAAGCGGUUCCCAUCCUUCGUGGUUGAUCUAAACGGUCCACAUACAUCGGUAUGUAUUAGGUCCAAUAGACCCUCGCCCCUUUCACAUGUACUCGUGAAGGGUGACUUAGUCAUCUUUCCAAGCAAACAAGACUCGCAUGUGUCAUCUUCCCUAAGGUCGAAUGACUCCAACACUCCAUCCUUUUGGAGUUGGGCUAUGCGUUUCUUGUUGACAUGUCCAAGACGACAAUGCCACAAGGAUGCUUUAUCCAUACUAGUGGAAGAAUCAAUAUUCAAAACAUCAUUUCCUAAGUUAUCAACAAUCAUAACGGUUUCAUAUAUUCCAUUACAUGGUAUAGCUUCAAAGUAAAAGACACCAUUUAGAUAAGCCAAAAUAGAACCAUUCUCAUUAUUAAAAGAAAAUCUAAAUCCUUGUCUAUAUAAACCAUGAAAUGAAAUGAUGUUUCUUGCCAUUUCUGGCGAAUAGCAACAAUUGUUCAAAUCUAAAACUAAACUAUUCCUAAGCACUAAAGAAUACACUCCAAUCUUGGUCACAGGCGACGAUCUUCUGUUCCCCAUGAUUAGAUUGAUCCUUCCUUGCUCCACAUCCCUACUUCUUCUUAGUCCCUGCACAUUAGAACAAAUGUGAUAACCACAACCGGUAUCAAGAACCCAAGAAAUAGCAUGAUUAGAAUCGUUAGAUUUGAUUGUGUAUAUACCUGCGAAAGAUGGCUUGAUCUUUCCUUCUUUGAUUGCUUGCAGGUAAUCUGGGCAGCUUCUCUUCCAAUGUCCUAUCUUGUGGCAGUGGUGGCACUCUGCCUCCUUCGGGUUAGAGCAGGGCUUAGCGGGAUCAACUUUGGUCCCACUAGAAGAGGCACCAUCUCGGGCUUUCACCUUGCGAUAGUUCUUCGAUGAAGCUUUCCUCUUCUUUCCCUUUCCUUGACCAAUAGCCAAGACAGGAGCAGCGGGCGGAUUGGGAGUAGGUGCAACAGACUUGUCCUUGAAGUUGCUCUCAGCGACCCUCAAGAGACCUUGGAGUUUGCUUAGGGUGACCUCUUCUUUGUUCAUGUGGUAGGUCAUCCUAAAUUGGUUGUACAUCGGAGGCAAAGAGUGAAGCACCAUGUCGAUCGCCAAGUCUUCACCGAAGUCAACAUUUAACUUGCGAAGGCGGUCGACAUACCUUUGCAUCUUUUGCAAGUGCACGGUAAGAGAUUCUCCAUGACCCAUCUUCGCGGAAAUCAUGUUAGUGAAAAUCUCGUACCUCUCUUGUCUCGCGUUUUGGUGGUACCUCUCCAAUAAGUCUUGAUGCAUCUCGUACGGGUACAUGUCCUCGUAGGACUUUUGGAAUUCGGAGUUCAUGGUGGCGAUCAUGAUGCAAUGUACCUUCGUUGCAUCUCGCUCAUGAGUCUCAAAAGCGGUGAUUUCGGCGGGAGUAGCGAUUUCGGGGUUGAUUUUCUCGAGCUUCUCAUCGAGGACAUACUCCUUAUCCUCAUAGCGAGCAAUGGUGCGAAUGUAUCUUAUCCAUUCGCUAAAGUUCGUUCCAUCGAAGGUGACCUUUUGGCAAAGGCUCAUCAACGUGAAAGAACUAGCAGCAGCGUUGUUUGCGUUCGACAUCUACAAUUAGAAAAGGACAAAGAUAGAUUAGAAUAAGAAUCCCUAAUUAUCACCCAAUAAGAAAAUUAGGGCUAGGAUCCAACAAUAACAUUUACAUACUAGAAAAGGGAUGCCGUAAUCUAACAUGCAAAUAAAUUGAAGGUAAGUGAAUGACGAUUCACUAAUUCUCCAUCACAAAACUUAAACUAUUAGUCCUAAGUGUUUUUGAGAAUUCCUAGGUUCGGAUGAGAUUCAUUGAAACUAUUCAAUGGCAUGUUUAAAUCUCGAUAUGCCCCUCUUGUUUGUGACUGGGAUACCGAGGAUCACAAAGCGGGUGUGAAUUACCAUGCAAAUUCACAUGGUGCCUUCAUUGUAACGAUCACCUAUUCGAUGUGCCGGUAAACCACACACGCUCCAUCGAACUAUGAUAAACAAUGAAUCACCCUUUGCCACCUUCGCUUAGAACCAAUUAGUGUGCCGGUAAACCACACACGCUCCACUAACAUCUUAGCAAGGUGCAAAGUGUAAUUUCAUGGGAUUGCAUCAAUUCACUUUUCCUAAAGUAACUAGGAUUGGGAAAUUUUAAAAUAUGUGUAGUUACUUUGUAUUUCUUAUUAUACUUUUAAUGAGAGGAUGAGGUUGCCCUAUCCUACCCGUUCGGCUAACGACCCUCCACCAAUCAAGCAAGCGGUGGGUGUGAGUGUACACCCAUUAAGCGCCAUUUUAUAGGCCGCAACCUUAUACCCACCUUAUAGAUCGGCUUCGUGAAUGAGGCCUACUAACGGUAAGACUAGCAUUUAGUUAUACAUAUAUAUAUUAUUCUAGUAAUAUCAUAUUAGUAUAGGGUUGUAUUUUAAAACUUUUAAAAUCUAGGGUUUGAAAUUUAAGUUGUCUAAAUUAAAACUUUUAAUCACAAAAGUAAAUUUCAAAACAUGAGGGUAGGUUUUAAACAUUUAAAACAUGGAGGAUCAAAUAACAAAUAAUUCCAAUUAACAAUUAAUAUCCUAAUUAUCUAUAUUUGAUUUAUUCAAGAUUUCUUUUAAGAUAAUUACCAAAAUAAUCAAAAUAAUUAAUUAAUUAUCAUAUAAGGAAAUUAAAUAUUUAAUUAGUUGAUAAUUACCUUUAACUAGAUCAAGAUAAUAGUUAUAUUUAUCAGAAAAACGAAUUAAUAUUGAUCUAAUUAGUUUAUGGUAAGUUAAGAUAAGAUAAACACAAAGAAAUCCCGAAUCUGGCCAUUCCUGACGCCUGGACUCGCCGAGUGCACAAGGGGACUCGCCGAGUCAGGCCUACUCGCCGAGUCCACCUUGGGACUCGCCGAGUCAGUGACUCAGAAACCAAAAAAUCGAAUUUUGCAGGUUUGUUUCAGUUAAUCAAGCAACAAUUUAAAGAAAACCAAGCUAGGCUCUGAUACCACUGAUGGGUUUUAGCCAUAAGAACUUUCCUAUGUGCGCAUGCAAAACCCUAUUGCUCGGAUCUAGGCUUUCUAAUUAAACAUGCUUUGAAUCCAAGACUUCUAAUAGCUAAUUAGGUUAAAUAACAACAUCGAAACAGAUCUAGAAUCAUACCUUUGAGUUCCUUGUUGAUCUUGUUGUCUUGGAGCUUCUAGAGUCACAAAUGUCACUCCUCUAAUGGCUUACAAACACCAAUAGCAAGCAAGAUGAUUUAGGAGAGAGGAGAAGGGAGGAAUUCGGCCAGAGGUUCCUUACUUUAGGUUGUGUGUCGAAUUCCCUCACCCCUAGGGUCUAUUUAUACUUGUAGACUCCUUAAGGGUUACCACCUAAACCCUAAUUGGAUAAUCUUCUCUUAAGGCUAUCCAAAUCCAUUCCAUAGAUAACCCUAUGGACGAUUUUGGCUUAUCCAAGCCCUAGAAAUCGUCCAUCCUAUCUAGGAUAAGGAUUUAUAGUCUAAAGUGUAACUAUCAACCAAUUGACAGUUUAUACCCUCUUAUUUAAUUAAUCUCUUUAAGUCACCAAAUUAAUUCGAAUUAAUUUAUGACUUAUAUUAAUCAAAUAACCAAAUAUUAUUCCUUAUAAUAUUUACUCUCUUUUUAACAAAUCAUCCAUCAAGUUGCUAUGGUGAAGGCAACCCAAAAGGACCAUGCACAACCGGAUAUAGUUACAGCCUUAGACACUAUUCCAACACUUUGGACGAACCUACACAAACUACAAGUGAUACUUCUUCAGCAAAAAGUGCAUGUUGUGCACAUGCUUCAAAACGAAAGGCCAACAUUCACAGAAAUCCAAAACAGGUGGCUGAUCGCAAACAUCAAAAAAAUCUGAGAUACAAGAAGAAUCUCUCAGAGAGAAAACUGUUUUGGAAUUCUCAAAAUCCUGAUUUUGUAAGGAUUGAAAGGAAGCAAAAAUCACAAGAAGAAUCAAGGAACCGAAAGGAUGGGUUCGGUCCUUCAAUCAACAGGAACCGAAAGGAUGGGUUCGGUCCUUCAACCAAUAUGUAACAGCCCGAAAUCUCAGGUAUUGUUUAAUUAUGUUUUUGGGGUGAGUUGAGAGGGGACUCGGCGAGUUGGAGCCUAGACUCGCCGAGUAGGAUCGCAGACCUGGUCGCGGGUCCGCGACUGGACUCGACGAGUCCAGAUAUGGACUCGGCGAGUCGACGCUGUUCAGCAGAAACCCUAACCGUUCGGUUUUGGAUCGUAUAUAAUGCUCUUAUAUGCCGUCAUUGUUCGUUUUUAGUCGAUUGAGAGGAACCCUAAACGGUUGUGGGCAUCUAGAGCAAGAUUGGAGGAUAUUAGGGCUUGAAGAGGUUGUGGGGCAAAGAGGAGAAAGGUUUUGGCUAAAGGAACAGCAAAGGAUUCGAGUUCUGCGGUUUGGAGACACAGAGAGGGCAUAUUCCAGGUAAUAUUUCGGAUUCCCUUCUGUUGUUUGAUGUGUUUAUGAAGUUAGGGUUUAUGAAACCCAUUUAGUGAAUAGAUGGGUUAUUAUGUUAUUACCCAAACGUUUAUACCCCAGUAAUGAGAUGUUUAGAAGUCCAGAAAGUCCCAUGGUUGUAUAUCUCGGGACCACACGUAAUUCAGGAAGCAGUUGCUCGUCUGCAUGGCAUGGACUCGCCGAGUUGUUCUUCAGACUCGGCGAGUAGCUUGAAGAUUUACUGGGACUCGCCGAGUUGUUCUUCAGACUCGGCGAGUGGAGUCGGGGUGGCCCCGCGAUUCUUCCAGGAGUAACUCGUCGGGUCGAGGAGGAUACUCGACGAGUAGAUAAGGAAUCUCAGAAAGUUGGAGGACGUCUAGACUCGCCGAGUCGCCAUGGUACUCGCCGAGUCCGGUCGAGCUGACCGUUGACCGUUGACCAGAGUUGACCUAAGUCUGACUUCUUAGGGAUAGUCACACUUAGAUGAUAUGAGUGUUAAUGAGUUAUGUAAUGUUAUAGGAGGGUUGUAGCUCGUUGGUUUGUGCGCGAGUGAUUUCAGGAGUUGCUAGCUUUCAGCACUUACGAGGUGAGUCUUCUCACUAUACUGUACCCGGAAGGGUUUGACUGUGUGACCGGAAGGUCAAGUAUGUUAUGUAUUAUGUUUAUAUGCUAUAAGUGGUAAGUUAAGUGUUAUAUGGAUAUGUAUGCUAUAAGUGGUAAGUUAAGUGUUAUAUGGAUAUGUAUGCUAUAUGUGGUAAGUUAAGUGUUAUAUGUGCUAUGUAUGAUAUGUGGGCCGGAAGGCAAUAUGUUAUGGGCCGGAAGGCGAUUAUGUUAUGGGCCGGAAGGCGUUGUAAUGAGGACCGGAAGGUCAGGGCCUGGAAAGGCGUAUGUGCGUAAGUGUAUAUUGGGGAACUCACUAAGCAUUUAUGCUUACAGUUGUUGUGCAUGUAUUUCAGGUACUAGCGAGGACCGUGGGAAGGCGCCGGCAUGAUCGAUACACACUGAAGAUUGUUUUAUGAUCUUGGGAGUUUGAAUAAUUGUAUUGACCGAAUAAUUAAACUGUUUAUGCCUUGUUUUUAAUGGAAAUAAUUAUGUUUUAAAAAUGAAAAAUUUGUUUGAAAAAUUUGAGUUGUUACAAUUGGUAUCAGAGCCUUGGUUUGAGGGAUUCGGGUGCACCUUCGGGGGUAACUGAACUCAAACCGAGGAUUUGAGGAAACUUUUCAAAUAAAGGCAUAAACUUUUGUAAAUGGUUUUGUGGUAAGCAAGAAAGAAGCAGUGUGUACGAUCAGUCAGCGCCCGAACGGUAAAGAUCCCCAAAAUACCUUACAAUAUUAUAUGAUAUGAAUUGUUAUGCAUGCUAGAAGACUAGGUAUUCAUGAUAGGACUAGAGUGGCCUGAUUUGUGAUGCCUUAGUCUAGGGAAGUUGCCUAUAUGAGAUGCUUUGCUAGUAUGCGGGUAGAUAGAGCGUAUCAGAAGUAGAGUACUCACUAUCUGGAGUUUGGGGAGGAGGACUUGGGAUGAACAUUGAUGCGGUGUGGUCGGUAGUAUUGGGCCCGUACUACCGAGGACACCGGGUCAGUGGGAGGCCCAAGUAAGAAUCCCUGGAUAUCUGGGACUGAGUAGGGUUGCGUGUCGAGUACGAUUAUACUCGGUAGAAUCUCUGAUAGUUUUAUGUUGUAUUUCAGAGAUAUCAUGGUUAGACCGCGGCACGGGGCAAGUACGAGCGGUGUGAGUGACGAGGAUAUUCGUCAGAUGAUCCACGAGGAGGUGGCGGCGGCGAUCCGGGCUGAGAUCCCGGAGAUGUUUGGGUCUAUCAAGACCACCCUGAUGGAGACGUUCGACGAGCGGUACGCCGCAUUGACUGAGGCUGCAACCGCUGCAGCUACCGCAGCUGUGGCCGCUGCUAGGCCACAGGGGGGUGAUUCAUUGCUGUUCCGAGAGUUCAGCAACACGAAGCCACCAGAGUUCGAUGGGACGCAGGAUCCGAUUGCUGCGAUGAGGUGGAUCGCAGAUAUAGAGGGGUGCUUCUACACUUGUUCAUGCCCGGAGCACCUGAGGGUACGGUUCGCUUUGAACCAGCUCCGUCUGGGAGCCAAGGACUGGUGGAAGUUCGUGACGGCGAACUUCACUUUAGCAGAGACUGCGGCAGUGACAUGGGAGGGGUUCACUACCAUGUUCAGGGAUGAGUACGUUCCCCCGGUGGAGCGGGAACGAUUGGUUCAGGAGUUCUUAACCCUCAAGCAGGGUACUGAUUCGGUGGCGGCGAUCACGCGGAAGUUCCAUGAGAGGGCGAUGUUUUGCCCCGAGCUGGUGGCCACAGAGCAGGCUCGGAUGAGCCGGUACUUGGGUGUUCUGAGGAGGGAGAUCCGGGAGUUUGUGUCAAACUCCACUUACCAUACUUUUACUGAGCUUCAGGCGAAUGCCAGGAAGCGUGAGAUCGAGUUAGAGACUCAGGCCAGGGAGGAGGCCGAGUCUCAGCAGGCAGACCGGCGACCGGCUCAGUCUCAGCCGGCAGCCAAGCGGAUCAAGUCCGCCGAUUCGAGGACGGGAGGUUCGAAGAACCGCACUUGCGUAAAGUGCGGUAAGGGUCACGAUGGGGCGUGUCGAGCCGGUGCUUGCUACAAGUGUGGCAAGGAGGGACACAUUGCUAGGGAGUGUCCCAAGGGAUUUAUGGUUUGCUUUCAUUGCAACCAGACCGGCCAUCGGAAGGCCGAGUGCCCUCAGCUUCGUCAGGGAUCUGCACCUGUUGCCAGGACUACUGAGACUCGACCGGUGAAGGUCGAGGCCCCGAGGGCUCGUGGGAGAGCCUUUCAGCUGACUGCGGAGGAGGUCCGCGCUGCGCCCGAUGUUGUGGCAGGUAUGUUGUAAUUCAUGUAAUUAUUUUAAUGUCGAUAUGUUAUGCUUAUGUUAUUAUGCGCGUAGGUACUUUCCUUGUGAACUCUGUGCCUGCCUUAGUGUUAUUUGACUCGGGUGCGAGUAGGUCCUUUGUGUCCUUGGCCUUUAGUCAGCAUAUUGGCGUUAGUCGUGAGUCGUUGAGUCGACCUUUGAGAGUCUCUAUAGCUGACGAGAAGGUGAUUUGUGCUACGGAGGUUCUUCGGGGAUGUGUACUAGAGAUUUUCGGGGUUGGAUUCCCGAUUGACCUGAUUCCUAUCGCGAUGGGGGAUGUCUGUGUCAUCGUGGGCAUGGACUGGUUGAGCCGGUUCGGCGCUGUCAUCGACUGUGAGCGUCAGUUGGUGACUAUACGAGACCCAAGUGGGGGAGUUCUUUCGGUAUACGGCGAGGGUACCCGUUCGGGAUCAGCUUUUUGUUCGGCCGCUAGGGCGAGGCAGUGUCUACGGCAGGGCUGUAAGGGUUUCGUGGCGUAUGUGAUGGAUACGCGGGAGGUUUCUGAGAAACCGAAGUCAGUUGAGGAAGUUCCGGUGGUGCGCGAGUUUUCAGAUGUCUUUCCCGAGGAGUUGCCGGGAGUACCGCCUGUGAGGCAAGUAGAGUUUAGUAUCGAUCUGGUUCCGGGGGCAGCGCCUAUUGCUAAAGUGCCCUAUCGUCUUGCACCUCCAGAGAUGCAAGAGUUGUCCUCGCAACUCCAGGAGUUGCUGGGGAAGGGAUUCAUUCGGCCGAGCAGCUCGCCAUGGGGAGCACCUAUUCUGUUCGUCAAGAAGAAGGAUGGUUCACACCGGAUGUGCAUUGAUUACCGGGAGUUGAACAAGCUAACGGUCAAGAACCGUUACCCGUUGCCGAGGAUCGAUGAUUUAUUCGAUCAGUUGCAGGGAGCAUCUUGGUUUUCCAAGAUCGAUCUGAGGUCAGGAUACCAUCAGGUGAGAGUACGGGAUGAGGACGUCCAGAAGACAGCGUUUAGGACGCGAUAUGGGCAUUAUGAGUUUGUGGUGAUGCCUUUUGGACUCACCAAUGCCCCGGCUGUGUUCAUGGAUCUCAUGAACAGGGUAUGCAGGCCGAUGUUGGAUCGGUCAGUGAUUGUAUUUAUCGACGACAUUCUGGUGUAUUCGAGAUCUAGAGAGCAGCAUGAGGAGCAUUUGAGGGAGGUCCUUGAGGUAUUGAGGUCGGAGAAGCUUUAUGCAAAGUUCUCCAAAUGUGACUUCUGGUUGCGGGAGGUCCAGUUUCUAGGACAUGUGGUUAAUCAGAAAGGGAUAUUGGUCGAUCCGGCCAAGGUUGAGGCGGUGAUGAGUUGGGAGGUGCCGAAGUCACCCUCUGAGAUCAGAAGUUUCCUUGGGUUGGCAGGGUAUUAUCGGAGAUUUAUCAAGGAUUUCUCCAAGAUCGCAGUGCCACUCACCAGAUUGACCCGGAAGGGUGUUACAUUCUCAUGGGGGCCCGAGCAGCAGACCUCCUUUGAGACACUUCGCCAGAGAUUGUGCGAAGCCCCGGUAUUAGCUCUCCCAGAAGGGAUGGAAGAUUUCGUGGUAUAUUGCGACGCAUCGAUUUCGGGAUUGGGUGCAGUGUUGAUGCAGAGGGGUCAUGUGAUAGCUUAUGCGUCGAGGCAGCUGAAGCCUCAUGAGGCGAGAUAUCCCACGCAUGAUUUAGAGUUGGGGGCAGUAGUGUUCGCUCUCAAGAUUUGGCGUCACUACUUGUAUGGGGUUCGAUGUACGAUAUACACGGACCAUAAGAGUUUGAAGUAUUUGAUGGAUCAACCCAACCUAAAUAUGCGUCAGAGGAGGUGGUUGGAUGUGGUCAAGGAUUAUGAUUGUGAGAUCCUGUACCACCCAGGCAAGGCUAAUGUGGUAGCCGAUGCAUUGAGCCGCAGGGCGGAGAGCACUCCAUUGCGAGACGUAUGCUUGAGACUGACUGUGAUGACUCCAGUAUUGGACGCUAUUCGUGGGGCCCAGGCAGAGGCUGUGCGACCAGAAAUGCAGAAGAAAGAGCGGGUUGUGGGGUUAAUCUCAGAGUUUGUCAAGGAUAGUCGAGGCCUUAUGACGUUUCAGGGUCGGAUUUGGGUGCCGUUCGUGGGCGGUACGCGUAUUACGUUGAUGGAAGAGGCUCAUAAAUCGAAAUUCUCGAUCCAUCCCGGUGCUACAAAGAUGUAUUUGGAUUUAAGGAAGGAAUAUUGGUGGCCCUGUAUGAAGAGGGACGUGGCAUGGUUCGUUGAGAGGUGCUUGACCUGCCGUAGGGUUAAGGCUGAGCACCAGAGACCGCAUGGCAAGUUACAGCCAUUGGAGAUCCCCGAGUGGAAGUGGGAACAGAUUACUAUGGAUUUUAUCACCAAAUUGCCGAGGACUGCUAGGGGAGUUGACGCAAUUUGGGUGAUCGUGGAUAGGUUGACAAAGAGUGCACACUUCCUUGCCAUCAGUGAGAGUUCUUCGGCGGAGAAAUUGGCGGAGAUAUACGUGAGAGAGGUGGUAUCUCGGCACGGGGUGCCGAUCUCGAUUGUGUCAGACCGUGAUGUGCGCUUUACUUCCAGAUUCUGGAAGAAAUUCCAUGAGGAGCUGGGUACUAAAUUGCAUUUUAGUACCGCAUACCAUCCCCAGACAGACGGUCAGAGCGAGCGGACAAUUCAGACACUGGAGGACAUGCUCCGAGCGUGUGUGUUAGACUUCGGGGGUAGUUGGGAUGCGUAUUUACCAUUGGCAGAGUUUUCCUACAACAACAGCCAUCAUUCGAGCAUUGGUAUGCCGCCUUUCGAGCUGUUGUAUGGUAGGAGGUGUCGGACUCCCAUUUGCUGGGGAGAGGUGGGACAGAGAGUGAUGGGCAGCACGGAGAUCAUACUCCAGACGACAGAGCAGAUUCAACAAGUGAGACAAAGAUUAUUGACUGCCCAGAGCCGACAGAAGAGUUAUGCAGACAGGCGCCGAUCCGAGCUUGAAUUUCAGGUCGGCGACUUCGUUCUCCUGAAGGUCUCUCCUUGGAAAGGAGUGAUUCGGUUCAGGAAGAGAGGCAAGUUGGGGCCCCGGUAUAUUGGGCCAUUUCGUGUGAUUGCAAGGAUAGGUCGGGUAGCCUAUCGGUUGGAGUUACCAGCGGAGUUGGGUCAGAUCCAUGACACUUUUCAUGUGUCGCAGUUGAGGAAGUGCAUAGCCGAUGAGUCGGCAGUGGUUCCAUUGGAGGAUAUUCAGGUGGAUGCGAGCCUGAAUUACGCGGAGAGACCAGUGGCUAUCAGGGAUCGGAAGAUCAAGGUUCUGAGGAACAAGGAAGUACCUCUGGUGUUGGUUCAAUGGCAACACCGUAAGGGAUCAGAAAUGACUUGGGAACCGGAGCGCGAAAUGCGGGAGCAGCAUCCGGAACUAUUUGCAGAGUGAGACUUCGAGGGCGAAGUCUAAUCCAAGUGGGGGAGAAUUGUAACAGCCCGGAAUCUCAGGUAUUAUUAAAAUUAUGUUUUUUGGGUGAUUUAAGAGGGGACUCGGCGAGUUGGAGCCUAGACUCGCCGAGUAGGAUCGCAGACUUGGUCGCGGGUCCGCGACUGGACUCGACGAGUCCAGAUAUGGACUCGGCGAGUCGACGCUGUUCAGCAGAAACCCUAACCGUUCAGUUUGAAUCGUAUAUAACGCCUCUUAGGCCGUCAUUUUCCGUCUUUUGAUCGAUUGAAAGGAACCCUAAUCGUUGUGGACGUCUAGGGCAGGAGAGAAAGCUAUUGGAACUUGGAGGAACUUGUUAGACAAGAAGAAGAAGAAAUUGGCCAAAGGAAUAUCAAGGAGGAUCGAGUCCUGAGGUUUGGGGAACACAGAGGGAACGUUCUCAGGUAAUACUCGGAUCAAUUCUGUUAGUUAAUGUGUUUAUGAACCUAGGGUUUAUGAAAAACCCAUUUAGUGAUUAGAUGGGUUAUUAUGUUAUUACCCAGAUGUUAUACCCACAGUAAUGAGAUGUUUAGAAGUCCAGAGGGUCCCAUGGUUGUAUAUCUUGGGACCAUACGUAAUUCAGGAAGCAGUUACUCGUCUGCAUGGCAUGGACUCGCCGAGUUGUUCUUCAGACUCGGCGAGUAGCUUGAAGAUUUACUGGGACUCGCCGAGUUGUUCUUCAGACUCGACGAGUGGAGUCGGGGUGGCCCCGCGAUUCUUUCAAGGGUAACUCGUCGGGUCGAGGAGGGUACUCGACGAGUAGAUAAGGAAUCUCAGAAAGUUGGAGGACGUCUAGACUCGCCGAGUCGCCAUGGUACUCGCCAAGUCCGGUCGAGCUGACCGUUGACCAUUGACCAGAGUUGACCUAAGUCUGACUUCUUAGGGAUAGUCACCCUUAGAAGUUAUAAGUGUUAAUGAGAUAUGUGAUGUUAUAGGAAGGUUGUAGCUCGUCGGAUUGUGCACGAGUGAUUUCAGGAGUUGCUAGCUUUCAGCAUUUACGAGGUGAGUCUUCUCACUAUACUGUACCCGGAAGGGUUUGACUGUGUGACCGGAAGGUCGGAUAUGUUAUGUGAUAUGUAUGCUAUAUGUGGUAAGUUAAUUGUUAUGUGUGCUAUGUAUGAUAUGUGGGCCGGAAGGCAAUAUGUUACGGGCCGGAAGGCGAUUAUGUUAUGAGGACCGGAAGGUCAGGGCCUGGAAAGGCGUAUGUGCGUAAGUGUAUAUUGGGGAACUCACUAAGUAUUUAUGCUUACAGUUGUUGUGCAUGUAUUUCAGGUACUAGCGAGGACCGUGGGAAGGCGCCGGCAUGAUCGAUACACACUGAAGAUUGUCUUUAUGAUCUUGGGAUUUUGAAUAAUUGUAUUUGACAGAAUAUUUAAACUAUUUAUGCCUUGUUUAAAAUGGAAACAACUAUGUUUUUAAAAAUGAAAAAUUUGUUGAAAAAUUUGAGCUGUUACACAAUAGGAACCGAAAGGAUGGUUUCGGUCCUUCAACUGACAGGAACCAAAAGGAUGGUUUCGGUCCUUUGACCAAUAGGAACCGAAAGGGUGGUUUCGGCCCAAUGACUGAAAACAACCGAAAGGGCAGUUUCGGUCCAUUCUCCAUCUACAACCGAAAGAGCGGUUUCGGUCCCUCAUCCUACAACAACCAAAAGGAGAGUUUCGGUCCUUCAUCCAAUGUCAAAUGAAAUUGCAAUUUCGGUCCUCCUGCUUGCAAGUCUGAUCAACAAAACCGGGAAUCUAAUGUCUCUUCUAAAUCCAAUUCUCUAAAUUCCUGUUCCUCAGCCAAAAACCCCAGUUGGUCUUUGGUGAUCAUGUUCGAGGUCUACCAGUUCUAAAAUUUGAUAAAGAACAUCUCUAUGCAGCAUGUGAAAUGGGAAAGCAGAGUCGGAAGAGUCAUCCUUCUAUUAUCAAUACUAAGGUGAUAGAACCACUGGAAUUACUGCACAUUGAUCUAUGUGGUCCUUCGUCCAUCGAAAUCAUUGGGGGAAACAAAUACGUUCUGGUUAUUGUGGAUGAUUUCUCGAGGCUUACAUGGAUUUUCUUUCUCAAGCAAAAGUCUAAAGCUACUCCAAAGGUCAUGCUCUUCAUUAAACAAAUCGAGACACAACUAAGAAAGGUAGUCAGUAAUAUAAGGAGUGACAACGACCUGGAAUUCAAGAAUAAAGAAUUUGAAGGUUUUCUUGCUGAAAAAGGGACGACUCACAAUUUCUCAGCUCCCUAUACUCCGCAGCAAAAUGGCAUUGUUGAAAGGAGAAAUUGGUCACUAUGUGAAGCUGCUCCUACCAUGUUAUGCUUCAUGUCCUUGCCGUUAUAUUUCUGGGUUGAUGCAAUCGCGACUGCAUGUUAUACUCAGAAUCGAUCAUACUUGAAUAAACAAUUCUCAUCUACUCCUUACGAGAUCCUAAACAAUCGAAAACCAAACGUGAAAUUGUUUCAUGUGUUCGGUUCAAGAUGUUUCAUUUUCAACUCCAAAGAGAAUCAAAACAAGUUCGAUGUCAAGGCAGAUGAAGGAAUUUUCUUAGGAUGCUCCUUGAACUCCAAGGCGUAUAGAGUUCUCAAUAACGAUCGAAGAAAAUUGAAGAAACAUACUACGUCACUUUUGACGAUAGUUAUGUUAAGAAGUUGAAACCCAGAGAAGAUGCAUCACAAGACAUAUUUUCUAAGAAUGGUUUGGUUACUAUCUCUAUCUCGAAUCUUUUCGACCAAUUCAUGCUCUUGUUUGAUGAGCCUCAAAAGGCGAUUGACUCUAAAUCAAUUGCAAAAGACAACAAAGUUGAUAAUCUGAAAGAGGUUAUAGACGAAGUUACUAAGAAGAUGGCUGAAAAUCAAUCCAAAGACACCGAAUGCACAAACGCAACCGAACCUUCUAGUGACCAACCUACUGUCCAGGGGGAGGGUUCCUCUACUCCUCAUGAUCAAGGUCCUUCAUUCCAGGGAGAGAACUCAUCGCCAAAUUCAUCAAGCUCUACUGAAAUUCCAGUCAAUGUAGAAGAUACAAAUGCUAGUGGCUUAUUCUUCGAGGGGGAGAACACCAAUGUUGGUGAUGAUGACACCAUGUCUGAACUAGGGGAAGAAAUUAAUGUUGAACUAGAUCCUAUUUAUUAUUCAACGUUUCCUCCACUUGUCAAAUGGACCAAAGUGAUGGGUUUUAGCCAUAAGAACUUUCCUAUGUGCGCAUGCAAAACCCUAAUGCUUGGAUCUAGGCUUUCUAAUCAAACAUGCUUUGAAUCCAAGACUUCUAAUGACUAUUUAGGUGUAAUAACAAUAUUGAAACAGAUCUAGAAUCAUACCUUUGAAUUCCUUGUUGAUCUUGUUGUCUUGGAGCUUAUAGAGUCACAAUUGUCACUCCUCUAAUGGCUUACAAACACCAAUAGCAAGGAGGAUGAUUUGGAAUAGAGGAGAGGGGAGGAAUUCGGCCAGAGUCUCUCUACUUUAGAUGGUGUGUCGAAUUCCCUCAGCCAUAGGGUCUAUUUAUACUUGUAGACUCCUUAAGGGUUACAGCUUAAACCCUAGUUGGAUAACUUAGACUUUAAGUUAAUCCAUAUCCUUUCCUUGAUAACCCUAUGGACGAUUUUGGCUUAUCCUAGCCUUAGAAAUCGUCCAAUCCUUUAUCAAUAAGGAUUUACAGUCUAAAGUUUAACUAUCAAGCAAUUGACAGUUUAUACCCUCUUAUUUAAUUAAUAUCUUUAAGUCACCAAAUUAAUUCCAAUUAAUUCUAUGACUUAUAUUAAUCAAAUAACAAUAUAUUGUUCUUUAUAUUAUUCUCAUAAUAUACUAAUAAUAUUUACUCUCUCUUAAUAAAUCAUCCUAUCAAGUUGCUAUGGUGAAGGCAACCCAAAAGGACCAUGCACAACCGGGUCAAAUACUUGCCUAAUAUAGUUGUAGCCUUAGACACUAUUCCCACACUCUCCCACUUGGAUAAGUCUAGUAACUAUAUGCACAAGUACAAUUCGGUUUGCAAUCGUAGCUCUCAAAGACGCUGUCAAACUCUGAUCUAAUCAAUCUUGUCCUUUAGAUAAGGGAUCGUACAGUCCUCUGUUAGAUAUCAUGCUAACAAUACUAUGGAAUAGUUAGUCAAGCAUUUGGUUUCUCAAUUUCUGAUUUAUUUGACAUAGAACUUAAUCGAACACAUCAAUUCAGUUCUGACCGGGCCCGACACAUUAGUCAAAUCAAAUCAUCGAGCGGCCGAGAUAUCACUUUUUCUUUCUUAGGAUAAAAGUUACAAAUAAACUUCGACUUAUAUGCAUUUACUUAUUCAUUAACUAACCAUACACAACAAUGAGUUUUAUAACAUCGAGUUACCAAUGCGUUUUCGCAUUAUCAAUGUACAAUCACUUAACCAAUAACAAACCAUAUAUCUAGGUUUUAAGACUAUAUGAUAUUAUCGUAUUGCGAUCACCCUUUUAUAUCAUAUUCCAUUACGAUCUUCCAGCAAGCGCGGGUUUGUUCCAAUGCUCAAAACUAGUUCAUAAGCACUCAUGAACGUUGCAGCAAUCUUUUGCUAUGUCUAACACCAUUUAGACACUCUACAUACCUAUUCAUGACAAUCUUCAUUCAUAUCUACUUCUAACAUAUGAACUAUUGUGGACUAUUUGAAUAAUUCGAUUAUUCCUAAUAAACUCAAUUAUUUUGGAAGUCAAAACAUACAAAGUGAAACAAUAGUUAAACAAUUAACAUAAGAUAGUAACAUUACUUAUAAAUAAAACUCCUUUAUUUAAUCAUCAAAUGUUAAUUACAUUUAUCUAUUACACGUUUCUAAUACUAUCUAAUCUAUGCUAAUAUCAUCCUUCAGCCCAAUGCUCCUAGCAUGCUGCAAGUGCUUAACCCUACUCAGUCCCUUCGUAAGCGGAUCUGCUGGGUUAUCUUCUGAUGAUAUCCUCUUAACUACGAGUUGUCCUUCUUCUACACGAUGUCUAAUAAAGUGAUAUUUUCUGUUGAUAUGUCUUGAUCUACCAUGAUCCCUCGGUUCCUUGGUCAAGGCAACCGCUCCUUCGUUAUCACAGAAAAUCUCCAUGGGCUCCUUUAUAGCAGGUACAACUCCAAGAUCACCGAUGAAGUUCUUUAGCCAUAUUGCCUCCUUCGACGCUUCGCUCGCUGCAAUGUACUCUGAUUCGCACGUUGAAUCAGCUACGGUUUCCUGCUUGGAACUCUUCCAUGUCACUGCUCCUCCAUUUAGGGUAAAGACCCAGCCCGACUGCGAACGGUAGUUGUCCCUGUCGGUCUGAAAACUGGCGUCACUAUACCCUCGCACCUUCAAGUCAUCACUCCCUCCGAGGACUAAGAACCAUUCCUUCGUCCUCCGAAGGUACUUAAGGAUGUUUUUCACCGCAAUCCAAUGUGCUUUGCCAGGAUUCCCUUGAUAUCUGCUAACCAUGCUCAAAGCGAAGGCUACAUCAGGGCGAGUACAAGUCAUAGCGUACAUGAUUGAGCCAACUGCGGAAGCGUAUGGUACUCGGCUCAUUUCUGCUAUCUCAGCUUCGGUACUCGGACUUUGAGUCUUACUCAAUUUGGCAUUACUUUGUAUCGGUAGUUCUCCCUUCUUUGAGUUUUCCAUACUAAAACGUUUUAGUACCUUCUCUAAGUAAGUAUUCUGACUAAGUCCAAUUAGUCUCUUACUUCUUUCUCUUACUAUCCUUAUUCCUAAAGUAUAGGAAGCCUCUCCGAGGUCCUUCAUAGCGAAGCACCUCCAGAGCCAGGACUUAACCUCCUACACAGUCGGGACGUCGUUUCCUAUGAGUAAUAUGUCAUCGACAUAUAGAACGAGGAAGCUUACUAUACUCCCACUGGCUUUGACAUAUACACAAGAUUCGUCUUUGCUUCGUACAAAUCCAAACUCUUUGACUUUCUCAUCGAAGCAAAGAUUCCAUCUGCGAGACGCUUGCUUAAGUCCAUAAAUGGACUUCUCAAGCUUACACACUCUAUUCGGAUGCUUCGGAUCCACAAACCCCUCUGGCUGAGCCAUGUAAACAUCCUCAGCCAACUUUCCGUUAAGGAAAGCGGUCUUGACAUCCAUUUGCCAAAUCUCAUAAUCAUGAAAUGCGGCAAUUGCUAGCAUCACUCUAAUAGAUUUAAUCUUCGCAACUGGUGAGAAGGUCUCAUCAUAGUCAACUCCGGGAGUUUGAGUAAAGCCCUUCGCGACCAAUCGCGCUUUAUAUGUGUGUACGUUCCCAUCCACGUCGGUCUUCUUCUUGAAGAUCCAUUUGCACCCAACGGUCUUACGUCCGGGCACGUAAUCAACCAAAUUCCAAACUUGGUUAUCAUACAUGGAUUGGAUCUCGCUAUCCAUUGCCUCUUUCCAUUUUGCAGACUCCGGGCCUGCCAUGGCUUCCUUAUAGCUAUUAGGUUCAUCAAGAUUUAUUAGUGUACCAUCACUAAUAUACGUGUCCCCUUCGGUAGUAAUAUGAAAGCCAUAAAACUGGGGAUGAACUCUAACUCUAUCGGAACGUCUAAGAGGUAAGGAUUCGUCAAUCGGUUCAACCGGAGUUUCCUCCUCGGGUUGAAUGCCAGCGGUAGAGGUUCCUUCAUCUAUCGACUCUUGAAUCUCUUCAAGUUCGAUUUGCCUCCCACUGUCUCCUUGGCUUAUGAGUUCUCGCUCUCGGAAAACUCCUCUCCUCGCAACAAAGACAACAUUGUCUUUCGGUCUAUAGAAGAGAUAUCCAAAGGAUGUUUGCGGGUAGCCGAUGAAAAUACAUCGCUCACUUCGAGGUUCAAGCUUGUCGUGAGUAUCUCGUCUUACGAAAGCCUCACAACCCCAAACCUUGAUAUGUGCCAACGAGGGAGCUUUCCCCGUCCACAUCUCGUGAGGUGUUUUGGCAACCUUCUUAGUAGGGACUCGGUUAAGGAUAUGGGCGGCAGUCUCUAAGGCAUACCCCCAAAAAGAGAUAGAUAGUGAAGCACGACUCAUCAUAGAGCGAACCAUGUCCAACAAGGUUCGAUUACGCCUUUCUGCCACACCAUUCAAUUGUGGUGUCCUAGGUGGCGUCAAUUGUGAAACUAUUCCACACUCCUUGAGAUAAUCGUGGAAUUCAAGACUUAGGUACUCUCCUCCUCGAUCGGAUCGAAGCAUCUUGAUCUUCCUGCCCAAUUGAUUCUCCAUUUCAUUCUUAAACUCUUUGAACUUUUCAAAAGUUUCUGACUUUUGCUUGAUU
Molecule: long non-coding RNA, 18808 nt
Filed under: Lactuca sativa (garden lettuce)
Lineage: Eukaryota; Viridiplantae; Streptophyta; Magnoliopsida; Asterales; Asteraceae
Description: long non-coding RNA (LSAT_LNC000547)
Source: RNAcentral